Molecule: ribosomal RNA, 484 nt
Filed under: uncultured bacterium
Lineage: Bacteria
Description: partial 16S ribosomal RNA
Rfam family: Bacterial small subunit ribosomal RNA
Source: RNAcentral
AUUGAACGCUGGCGGCAGGCCUAACACAUGCAAGUCGAGCGGAUGAGUGGAGCUUGCUCCAUGAUUCAGCGGCGGACGGGUGAGUAAUGCCUAGGAAUCUGCCUGGUAGUGGGGGACAACGUUUCGAAAGGAACGCUAAUACCGCAUACGUCCUACGGGAGAAAGUGGGGGAUCUUCGGACCUCACGCUAUCAGAUGAGCCUAGGUCGGAUUAGCUAGUUGGUGAGGUAAAGGCUCACCAAGGCGACGUUCCGUAACUGGUCUGAGAGGAUGAUCAGUCACACUGGAACUGAGACACGGUCCAGACUCCUACGGGAGGCAGCAGUGGGGAAUAUUGGACAAUGGGCGAAAGCCUGAUCCAGCCAUGCCGCGUGUGUGAAGAAGGUCUUCGGAUUGUAAAGCACUUUAAGUUGGGAGGAAGGGCAGUAAGUUAAUACCUUGCUGUUUUGACGUUACCAACAGAAUAAGCACCGGCUAACUUCGUG